RNAcentral lists this unclassified non-coding RNA (727 nucleotides) under Dermacentor andersoni. Its description in RNAcentral is "uncharacterized LOC126534055". The record is from RNAcentral. Lineage: Eukaryota; Metazoa; Arthropoda; Arachnida; Ixodida; Ixodidae.
AGACUGUUUUUGAGGGUAAGAGAUGGAAGAAAGGAAGCUGCUUGCCAUCAUCCUACUCAGCGCUCAUUUAACCACGUUGGAAUGCGACUUGAAAUUUCUAUCAAGGAAAUACAACAUCCGAAAGACGGAACGUUACAUUCAUGGGCAUAUUUGACAAACAAAACAAGAAUCGCAUAUCUGUUUCUCGCAAAGGUGGUCCAUACAACAUGACAGAAGAAAUCGUAUUUUACAAUAAGGCACACCACUGUGCUGUGAUUAUGAUCUCGAUGCGUAUUACCGGUGGGCUACGCAUGUAUGACUUGCGAGUUUGGAACUCAACCACGGUAGUCGGCAAUGCUCGCCCCUGUCUUCGAAAGUUCACAGAGCUGGAACCCAAAAGACAUUGUAUUUACGAAAACUUCUGCAAGGGCCUAUUUCAUACGAGUUCAAGAUCACCGCAGCUGAUUCAGCAAAGCGCACAAAGCCCACGGCAAAGGUUAUAGAAAAUGGGACGCGAAAUAUAAGUUCGCUCAACAAACCACGCUGCGGGGCUAGUUGGUGAUGAAUUAUUUUUCUUUCUUACGAAACUAAUCCAGCACUACUUUUUAAGACGAGACAAACUUUAAGUGUAAUUAUUUAGGUGCAUAACAUUUAAGUAUGGAUAUGUUAUACAGUACUUUUUCAUCUGUAAUCUACGAGUUGCAAGUGAAAUAACGUCUUAAAAACAAAUAAAAGAUUGAUACCAAGA